GAUGAACGCUAGCUACAGGCUUAACACAUGCAAGUCGAGGGGUAACGAGAGGAAAGCUUGCUUUCCUUGUCGACGACCGGCGCACGGGUGAGUAACGCGUAUCCAACCUGCCCCCAACUAAGGAAUAACCUUGCGAAAGUAAGACUAAUACCUUAUAAUUUCAUCAGAUGUCAUCUGACGAGGAAUAAAGAUUUAUCGUUUGUGGAUGGGGAUGCGUCUGAUUAGCUUGUUGGCGGGUUAACGGCCCACCAAGGAAACGAUCAGUAGGGGUUCUGAGAGGAAGGUCCCCCACAUUGGAACUGAGACACGGUCCAAACUCCUACGGGAGGCAGCAGUGAGGAAUAUUGGUCAAUGGGCGAAAGCCUGAACCAGCCAAGUAGCGUGCAGGAUGACGGCCCUAUGGGUUGUAAACUGCUUUUAUACAGGAAUAAAGUUAGCCACGUGUGGUUAUUUGUAGGUACUGUAUGAAUAAGGACCGGCUAAUUCCGUGCCAGCCGCCGCCGUAA
This 506-nucleotide ribosomal RNA is filed under the name uncultured bacterium. Its description in RNAcentral is "partial 16S ribosomal RNA". It matches the Rfam family "Bacterial small subunit ribosomal RNA", at positions 28 to 523 of the family's 1533-position model. The record is from RNAcentral.